RNAcentral lists this ribosomal RNA (474 nucleotides) under uncultured bacterium. RNAcentral's name for it is "bacterial SSU rRNA". It matches the Rfam family "Bacterial small subunit ribosomal RNA", at positions 791 to 1262 of the family's 1533-position model. The record is from RNAcentral.
UAGUCCACGCCGCAAACGAUGUCUACUUGGAGGUUGUGGCCUUGAGCCGUGGCUUUCGGAGCUAACGCGUUAAGUAGACCGCCUGGGGAGUACGGUCGCAAGAUUAAAACUCAAAUGAAUUGACGGGGGCCCGCACAAGCGGUGGAGCAUGUGGUUUAAUUCGAUGCAACGCGAAGAACCUUACCUACUCUUGACAUCCAGAGAACUUAGCAGAGAUGCUUUGGUGCCUUCGGGAACUCUGAGACAGGUGCUGCAUGGCUGUCGUCAGCUCGUGUUGUGAAAUGUUGGGUUAAGUCCCGCAACGAGCGCAACCCUUAUCCUUGUUUGCCAGCGAGUAAUGUCGGGAACUCCAGGGAGACUGCCGGUGAUAAACCGGNGGAAGGUGGGGACGACGUCAAGUCAUCAUGGGCCCUUACGAGUAGGGGCUACACACGUGCUACAUUGGACGAGACAAUGAGAUGCAAAUCUGCGAAG